ACAUCUAGGAAAAGAUGCAACCUACAGAUGAGCUUGUGAUCGAGGGGUGGAUCUGAUCACAGAGGCUAUCACACAGGUCACCCAUGAAUGUGAAGCAUGUGCUGCAAUCAGGGAGUAAAGUAGCAGGAGUGACAUGAACCGACGGUGAGUGAAUUUUACGAGGAGCGAGGAGAGUGCGACGAUAGCCCGGGCAGGGCCGGUGUCGGUGCCGAAGGAUCGUGUGUGUCGCUUCUGUCCCGAGCACCCAUCUUGAUGGAAUGGAGCCCAAGUCACGGCCUGUUUUUAAACAUCCGGAGGGGUGGAGGAAACCCAUGGAAUGGGAAAAUAAUAUCUAUCUUUGAAAGGAAGGGAGACAUUAGUUAAUGAAAAUGUAUACGUGUGUUGGGCAUAAAGAUGGUUUAAGCAUGGAGUUUAAGUUGUAAGCGUUGGUAAGAAGGGAUUUCAGUCAUGACAAAUAAAUAAAUUCAGGCAAAUAAAUACAACGGAAUAAUUGGAAGACAGAUAUAUAAAUAUAAUUCUGUGGCAUCUGAGUAUGAUGCAAAUGGUGUCAAGUAAGGGGUGGAGAUUGCAUUGGGUGUGGCUGAGAUGGAGUUUGUUUUCCCCAUAGCGGCCAUCAGUGCCAUGCUUUGCAUUGGUAACUAGAAGGGUGUUGAUAACACCCCAGUGUUUUGGCUACUGCUGGGCAGUGUUGGCACAGCAUCAGCGCUGUCUCUCCAACAUUCUGUCCCUCAUCAGUAGGCUGGGGGCGGGAGGAGACACCACUAGACCAGGUGACCCAAACUGGCCAGAGGGCUAUUCUGUACCAUAUGAUGACUUCAGCUCAGAAAUAAAAGCUGAGUUAAGGAGAGGGAAGGGGGCACAUUCGCUAUUUACAACGUUUGCCUUUUGGAGCAACCCCUACGCGUGCUGAAGCCCUGCUUCUUGGAAAGUGGUCGGACAGUGCUUGCUGAUGGGAACUAGCGGAUAUAAUUAUUUGUUUUUCCUGUUUGCUUUUUCGUGCGAAAACUUUCUCUUUUCCUUUAGUAAACUGCCUUAGCUCACCCUGUGA
Molecule: long non-coding RNA, 1048 nt
Organism: Vidua chalybeata
Lineage: Eukaryota; Metazoa; Chordata; Aves; Passeriformes; Viduidae
Exons: 2
Source: RefSeq, a predicted model, not a curated record